GCGGGUAUAGUACAUCGGUAGUAUGGUUCCUUCCCAAGGAACAGAGAGGGGUCCGAUUCCCCUUACCCGCUCCA
RNAcentral lists this transfer RNA (74 nucleotides) under Candidatus Woesebacteria bacterium. Its description in RNAcentral is "tRNA-Gly". It matches the Rfam family "tRNA". From Rfam's summary of the family: Transfer RNA (tRNA) molecules are approximately 80 nucleotides in length. Their secondary structure includes four short double-helical elements and three loops (D, anti-codon, and T loops). The record is from RNAcentral. Lineage: Bacteria; Candidatus Woeseibacteriota.